This is a long non-coding RNA of Salvia hispanica, 2918 nucleotides long. RefSeq lists it as uncharacterized. The record is from RefSeq and is a predicted model, not a curated record. Lineage: Eukaryota; Viridiplantae; Streptophyta; Magnoliopsida; Lamiales; Lamiaceae.
UCCAUUAUCUGCAUUGAGCUUGAGAUUCUGAAUCCUGACAAUCAAAUCCAUUAUCUAGACGGCGAAUGUGGUUUCCGGAAUUGGAGAGGUAGGGCGGUCGAUGCGGCGUCUCAAACCCUAGGCGGGGCGUCCCGCUGUGGUUGGGUGCUGGGGCCUUCGCUCGACAAGAUCAUAAGAAUGUGGCUUGGAGGAAGGAAACACUCCCAACUCGUCUCCUCCUGCAAAUCUGCUCUGCCGACGACCCUUCCGAUCCCGCCUCUUGCUGACUUCCAGCUUCAGCCACUCAUCUCCGCCCUCGAUUCGGCCUACCCCAAGGUCGUCGAGCCGGGUCCUGACACCUCCUCAUCCUACAUUUGAGCUAACUAGUGGAAAACAGCUUAAGUUGUCGUCGAUCUCGCAAUGGCCUCCAAAAAACUGCUCUAGGUCCACCACCUGGUUCAGUUUCCUCCUUAUCACCUGUCCAAGAUAUGACAUGUCGUUAUGAAUCAGUUAAGUGCCUGGUUAGGAUAAUUAAAUCAAUGGAAUCAUGGAUGGACCAACAACUGAAAGCUGGAGAACAUAAUCCGACAAAGUCUUCUGAUAAUGAAAACGUGGCUGAGAGUCUCAGUUACCACACUGAUGAUGCAACUAAUGCUGAUUAUGAGCCACACCUAGAAGCAAACUCUGAAAUAUAUGAUGCUGCAACACUGGAUUAGCUUAGAGCUCAUAAGUUGGAAAUUCAGGUUUGUUUAUGAUUUCACUUCAAGCAAAUCUAUUCCCUCAAGAAUUCUUAAUAGCUGUCUAAUCUAAACAUGAGAACAGGGUUGCAUUAAGAAUACAAGCAUUUAUAAUGUAAAAUUAGCUGUCUAAUCUCUUAAUAGUCUAAUAAUUUAUUUAGUGGCAGAGUUGUUAUGAUUUUGGAACACUUUAGUGAUUAUGUCAGUGUAAUGGAUGCCGAAAGGCACUGCACUGUUCAAUAGAAAAUCAUCCAAGGGAAUUGAAUUCUUGAUAAAAUCCAAAAAAGUUGGUAGCUCCCUAGAAGAAGUGGCCCAUUUUCUGAAAAAGAUAGACCGCAUCAUGGAAAAAUUUGCGGAGCGCUAUUGUAAAUGCAAUCCAAACUCGUUCACCAGCGCAGAUACAGCUUAUGUCCUUGCUUACUCAGUCCUAAUGCUCAAUAAUGACGCCGAUAAUCGUAUGGUGAUGGAUAAGGUACAUUUCUUCCUAUGGCAUCCAUGUCCACUCGCAGUGUUGGAGUGACUUUGAGGAACGACAAAGAGAAAGCACAGUUGAAGAACCUGUCACCCCCCACUAGCCAGCCUUCAAGAUACUCCUCAUUGGCUGUCAUAAAGGGUCUCGGCAUCCAGCAAUGCUGGGAUACAUUGGUUAGAGGGAGGCUUUUACCAUCUUUUCCAUGAGAAGUGUGCUCAUAUAAGGCAUUGACAGUGGAGUUCCUCAGCACAUUGCAACUGAUUUACAGUGAUGAGGAGGAGUUGGAGGCCAUCACAUUUCGGCACACCAAAAAGGAGAUCACGCUAACUCCGGCUCAAUUCAACGCUAUAUUCAAAGUGUACGGAGAUCAGGACAGAGCCAUUUGGCAAGAGCCGGAGGACUUUGAUAGAGAUUGGUUCUGGCUGGCAAUCACACGUCAGCGGGACUCCACGGCCAGGUUCAACCCUUCAAGAGCCAAGAGUAGUGAAAUAAGGAACCCGGUUUUGCGCUACAUGCACAAGGCAUUGGUGAACCUCUCGUUUGCCCACACAGAGUCUGGGAGUGUCCAGACCGAGAAGCUGUUUGUUUAGUAUCCAUUUAGUAGGAUUUAUGAAAAGUCCAGGUCAAGGUACCUCAAGCGCGGAAGUAGCUGCAUUGAUGCGUUUGGCUGCUGAUUUAGGGAGCAAACUUUCUGAAGACGAGGGGCAAGAUAUCAUUCUUUGUUUGAAAGAGGCUGCUGAGUCUAGUUUGCCUGGUUUUGCAAAACUUCUGAAAACCAUGGACAGCAUCGAGAUUCCCGAUGUUUCUCAUCCAAAUAAUGAUAUGGAACUGUCUACGGACCAUGGAGAUGGCUCUGAGGAUGAUAACGAAAACUUUCAAAUGGUAGCAUAUAUUUUAUCAAGGAUGAAUGUCCAUAUUAAUGUACAGCUACUUGUUAUACAGGCUGUGACUCUUAUAUACAGGAUCCACUGGACGUCCCUGUCUGCAAAUGUUGUCACCAUAGUACUCGGAAUCUUUUCAUCGAUAUCAUCUCAUUCUCAUGAUUUGAACACCCAACUACAUUACUUCUCAAGUUAGAUAAAGCAUGCUCUAUCGUGGAGAUCUCAGGUCCACCACUCGUGCUCUUUGAAAAUGAAUCAUGCAAGAGCUACUUAAACUUUUUGCAUGAUGUACAAGUGAACAGCCCAUCUUUAUCGAGGGAGAAGAAUGCUGAAGGCGAGCUUGUGUCUGUAUGUAAGAAAGUGUUGCAUAUAUAUACCUUGAGUGUAGCGGAGUUGAAUGUGUCACAUAAAAACUUAGGGCAAACUGCCUUCUUCCAUUAGGCUCCGCAAAGGAGGAGGAAUAGCAGCUCGAAUGCCUCUAAUUCUAUCAGUUAUGCGGAUUUUGGGUAGUCUAGAAAGGGUAUCAUUCAGGAGGCAUGUUUCUCAGCUGUUUCCAUUGCUGGUGGAUCUCGUCCGAAGCGAGCACAGUUCAAUGGAAGUGUAACGAGUUUCGAGCAGUAUAUUUAAGUCAUGUAUAAUAGGUCCUCUAGUGUACAGAGUGUAAGUUGAGAUUUUCUUGCUUCACUAUCGGUUCUUAGGAAAUUGUUUUGCUGUAUAGGAAUAUUCCAUCUGAGUACAGUCAUUUUGGAACUCGACUCUUUAGAAAUGUAUGCACCUAUACUAGUGUGGCUACGCAAGACUUUAAUUCCUUCAAUUUUCCUUUUAUUCAAUUAUUAUUCACAAUGCAAA